Long non-coding RNA from Dreissena polymorpha, 771 nucleotides. RefSeq lists it as uncharacterized. Lineage: Eukaryota; Metazoa; Mollusca; Bivalvia; Myida; Dreissenidae. The record is from RefSeq and is a predicted model, not a curated record. The transcript has 4 exons.
UUUAAGAAAGUAAAUCGAUUUAAUCUGGGCGACGUAAAACCUGCCACAAUAGCGCUUCCUUUUUAAAGGCAGUACAUAGCGCACAGAGAGGAAUCGGAGGUGUAUAGUUGUCCGAAGCAGUGCGAAAAGAUGCCUACAAUCGGUGUAAUCACGAGAAUUCUUGUUCUAUCUCUGGUAACCAUAGGUAUUUGCGGUUUUCCAGUCCAAAAUCAAGGUCCCACAACGAGUACUGCUGCUCCUAACAUAAUCGCACCGGCCGUGGGGGGAUCUGUUGGUGGAUGCUGUGGGAUUGGGUGCUGUGUUCUCCUUUAUUUUUGUUUUAAGAAGAAAUAGUAACAGCGCACAGCCAUCACUUUCUACAAUCGAGAUGGCUAGCAACGCAAAAUUACAAGAAGAAGAAUGAUGACUUUUUCCGGAAUCUUCUUUACUAGAGAUUUUUUCACAACGCACUUACAUGUUACAAGUACAACGGAUUGAGCUUGUUUUGAAGACCACAUUUAAUGUAUCGAUUUUAUUUAAAUAUGUAGUGAAUGCGGAUUUAAACCUCGUUCAUAUUAUACUGCAUAUUAGAAUAGACGAAUACAGCUUAUCCAUUUAAUUACGUAUUCAAAAUGAAUGGCAUACUUAGAUCUUCAUUCAACGUGUCAAAUCGAUAAUAGGUUUAUACGCAUCAUUGUUGUUAUGUACGCGUCAAUUUGUAUAGAAAGAAAAUAUUUUGAUCUGUAUACAUAGCAUACAUUUUUUAAUAUUAAAUCGGCGUUCGUUUGUUAA